This 390-nucleotide ribosomal RNA is filed under the name uncultured Rhodocyclaceae bacterium. Its description in RNAcentral is "bacterial SSU rRNA". It matches the Rfam family "Bacterial small subunit ribosomal RNA", at positions 994 to 1382 of the family's 1533-position model. The record is from RNAcentral. Lineage: Bacteria; Pseudomonadati; Pseudomonadota; Betaproteobacteria; Rhodocyclales; Rhodocyclaceae.
AAUCCCGAAGAGAUUUGGGAGUGCUCGCAAGAGAACCGGAACACAGGUGCUGCAUGGCUGUCGUCAGCUCGUGUCGUGAGAUGUUGGGUUAAGUCCCGCAACGAGCGCAACCCUUGUCAUUAGUUGCCAUCAUUUGGUUGGGCACUCUAAUGAGACUGCCGGUGACAAACCGGAGGAAGGUGGGGAUGACGUCAAGUCCUCAUGGCCCUUAUGGGUAGGGCUUCACACGUCAUACAAUGGUCGGUACAGAGGGUUGCCAACCCGCGAGGGGGGAGCUAAUCCCACAAAGCCGAUCGUAGUCCGGAUCGCAGUCUGCAACUCAACUGCGUGAAGUCGGAAUCGCUAGUAAUCGUGGAUCAGCAUGUCACGGUGAAUACGUUCCCGGGUCUU